This 504-nucleotide ribosomal RNA is filed under the name Triticum aestivum (bread wheat). Its description in RNAcentral is "partial small subunit ribosomal RNA". The record is from RNAcentral. Lineage: Eukaryota; Viridiplantae; Streptophyta; Magnoliopsida; Poales; Poaceae.
AACAAUUGUACUAACCAAUGUGAUGAUAUUCCUGCUGGUACUGGUCUUUCUCUUAUGCCUGUGCAGGUCCCUGGAGAAAACGGUGCUCAAAAUGACCAAGAUCUCGAAAAUAUGGCUGGUUUUGAUCCUAUAUUUCAUGCUGAGGAAGGAGACGAAGCUGGCACAGAUGACGAAGAAGAUCUGGCGGCGCCUGCCACCCCUGCACGCGCGCAGAUCUCGGAUCACGCGACCGCAUCCGCCUCGGAUCAAGCCCCUGAUGGCUCCAAUCCUGGAUCCAGGGCGGGCCACUCCCGUGCUGCCGCGUCAGCUUCAGGCGGGACCAGCAGCGGGGCCGAAUCCCCCUCGCCCCGCGCGCCAGCGUCAGGCGGGACCAGCGGCGGGACCAGAUCCUCCCCGCACCACGCGCGCCUCCAGUCACGAUCGGGUGGCGGAUCCUCUGCGCCAGUGCCUGCAGAAGGGGCAGCCACACCAGAAGCCACAGGAUCCCCUGCGCAUAUGACGACA